Non-coding RNA from Penaeus vannamei (Pacific white shrimp), 172 nucleotides. The record is from RefSeq and is a predicted model, not a curated record. NCBI's taxonomy places the organism in Eukaryota, Metazoa, Arthropoda, Malacostraca, Decapoda, Penaeidae.
UGGCCUAUAUAUAUAUACGAGGAGGUCCAUUUCCCUCCACAAGUGUCGAACAAGCAAAGUUGUUUCAGAAUGAAGGGACUGGUGCUCAUCUUGGUGCUCGGCGUCCUCGCUGUCACAGGAGUGUCAGCUCGGGAAGACGAGGACCUCCGCGUACUCGGCAAAUCACCGACUA